This 498-nucleotide ribosomal RNA is filed under the name uncultured bacterium. Its description in RNAcentral is "bacterial SSU rRNA". It matches the Rfam family "Bacterial small subunit ribosomal RNA", at positions 30 to 518 of the family's 1533-position model. The record is from RNAcentral.
AUUGAACGCUGGCGGCAUGCCUUACACAUGCAAGUCGAACGGCAGCACGGGAGCAAUCCUGGUGGCGAGUGGCGAACGGGUGAGUAAUAUAUCGGAACGUGCCCAGUCGUGGGGGAUAACGUAGCGAAAGCUACGCUAAUACCGCAUACGAUCUACGGAUGAAAGCGGGGGAUCGCAAGACCUCGCGCGAUUGGAGCGUCCGAUAUCAGAUUAGCUAGUUGGUGGGGUAAAAGCUCACCAAGGCGACGAUCUGUAGCUGGUCUGAGAGGACGACCAGCCACACUGGAACUGAGACACGGUCCAGACUCCUACGGGAGGCAGCAGUGGGGAAUUUUGGACAAUGGGGAAACCCUGAUCCAGCCAUGCCGCGUGCAGGAUGAAGGCCUUCGGGUUGUAAACUGCUUUUGUACGGUAACGAAAAGGUCUUUUCUAAUUAAAGAAGGACUCAUGACGGUACCGUAAGAAUAAGCACCGGCUAACUACGUGCCAGCAGCCGAC